Molecule: non-coding RNA, 88 nt
Filed under: unclassified sequences
Description: c-di-GMP sequence
Rfam family: c-di-GMP-II-GAG riboswitch aptamer
Source: Rfam by way of RNAcentral
AAUCUUGCUUGACGCAUUGAUCCGCCAGUCUCUAUUCGGGCGUCAUGAGACGGUGGGGAGCGGAGUGACGCGACCGGCAAGCGACAAG